RNA transcript from Nerophis ophidion (straightnose pipefish), 13887 nucleotides. RefSeq lists it as uncharacterized. The record is from RefSeq and is a predicted model, not a curated record. The transcript is spliced from 7 exons. NCBI's taxonomy places the organism in Eukaryota, Metazoa, Chordata, Actinopteri, Syngnathiformes, Syngnathidae.
CGCAGCGUAACCGUGGGAGACGCUUCCUUGACCUUCCCUCUCCUCCUCCUAAUGUGUUACUCAUCCUCUUCCCUCUUUUCGGCGGGCGUCUGACGUUCGGACCGUGGCUGCAUCGAUGCAAAAAUGGGUUGUGGGAAUUCGUCGGCCGCCAGCACCUCAGAAGGGGGGCCAGCCGAAGCCUCCAAGGAUGUAAGAUCCCUUGGCAGAUGACGAGAAAAGAAGGAACUAUGGUGGAGUGUACGUGGGUCUCCCUACAGACCUGAACGCCGUGGCUGCCAGUCAGUCCAAGACUGUCAGAAAAGACUAGCAGGCAUUGACGUGGACAUCCUCACAGGAUGCCGUCUUAUGGACGACACCUUGACGUCCUCGCUGAGUCCACUCUCAGUCUUCGCUUUUGUCAAGAUGUGGACGUCUUUCCAGGUCUCCGAAGAAUCCUGGACUCAUGGGAGACGUAGAGAUUCUGAGUGGAUCCAUUAGAUACCUUUGACCUUGCAUAACAACAAAAUAUGGCUGCAGCGGGCAGCGUUGUGUUGUGACGACCAAUUCGGCUCAUCAGUCGCUGUGCUGAAAUGUCUUUUUCGAGGGAUGCGUCGACUUUUUUUUUUACUGUAAGUCGGACCGCAUCAGUGACACGCUAUGUGGCGAUGCAGAGAGACAGACUGUCAAAAAUGCACCUGUACAUUAGGAACACAUGCACAACAAUAUUUGAUCAAGUUAGGCAUCACUUGUUGUAUUUUUCAUCAUAAUUUUUCAUCAUAAUUAGGGACCGCAAUUUUCUUAUUGUUACUUAUUAAAUCCACAAUUCAGUAAAUAACAAAACAUAUUUAACAUAUUUAAUUUUUUAAAUCAUAUUCCUCGAUGACUGGCUGGAAAAAAAAAGUCACAUUUUAAUGCUACGCGUCUGUUUCCUUUGCCCUCCAUGAACAAAUAAAACAAUAGACCCCCUAAUUAGCAAAGAAAACCACAAAAGAGAAAAGAUAAUUUUACUAAAGCACAGAAUGAUUCUACAGAAAUGUCCCAGAAAGAUUGAAAAAUGUUUCACAUUUGAGUGUAUGUCACACCGAGGCCUUCAGUGAUGUCCUAUUUGGUCAGAAUUAAAUAAAAACCUCUCAUAAAACCUUAUUGGAGGAAUACAUUACAGAAAUGCACUAUUGGGCUUCGAAUCAUCUCAAUAAUGUACAAAACGGGCUAUCAUAUCAAUAAAAAAAACAUAUCUAUGCGGUACUGUCAACAUUAAAAUAAUUGGAAAAAAUAUAUAUAUACAUAUAUUUAAACUAACAAUUUGCAGCACCAAUUGGAAACCGUAAGCCAGUGGUUGAGUCAAUUUGAUGUGGUAAGUGGUAUCAAACCGUUAAUCCGGCUGGGACAGGUUAGCAAGCUCGGGGGUUGGCAGACAAAGUCUCAUGAGAUCCAGCUGCUUUUGAAAUGUCCUUCUUGAAAAUGGCCUUGCAAAUAUACAAUAUAUCUGCAACUUGAACACAAUUUUGCUCACCUUCGUUGUGGGUUAAAAAAGCAAGUGUCACACCGCGGUGAGGGAAGUCUUGUCUUGGUUUUUCUGUCUUGUGAGUUACGUGUUUUAUUUUGAAUUGAUUAACGUGGACCCCGACUUAAACAAGUUGAAAAACUUAUUCGGGUGUUACCAUUUAGUGGUCAAUUGUACGGAAUAUGUACUGUACUGUGCAAUCUACUAAUAAAAGUAUCAAUCAAUCAAUCAAUUGAAAAGCUACCCUCUUGUUUCAGAUCACGGGCCCUUCCUCAUGUGUCACCAGUCUAACGUCAUCCCUGAUCCCUGAUUGUUUCCACCUGUUUCCCAUCAUACCUAUAUCCUAUUUAAGCUCAUGCCUCCUCUUGUCCUGUGCCAGAUUGUCUCGUCUAUUGUGCCUUUCUAGCGUCCACGUCCAUGUCCAUGAAAACCUCUUUGUCUUGCUCCUAUUUCCCUAGUUCCCCUUUUUGGAUCAAGCUGUCUUUUGCUGUAAUUUUGAGUUUACUUUUUUCCUCCUUCGAGCGUCCUUUGUUAUCCUUCGUCUACCUAAUUGGUGAGUUUUUGUUUUUCCAAAUUUCGUAUUGUUUGCUUCAUUGAUUGAGUUAUUUUUUGUUUAUUCCUAGUUAGUGUUAUACAUAGAUCGUUUGUGUUUUUUUCCUCCUUUUGGAGUGCUUUUGGUUAAUUCUUAUAGAGAUUCUAUUUUUGUUAGUUAUUCUUAGAUUAGUAUUCCUCCUUAUUUUUUGGAGUGAUUUUGAUUACCUGUUUAUUCUCGGAAUUAUUUUCCGCAUAUGGUAUUGAUUUUACGAAUUACUUUUUGUACCGGAGGUAAAAAAGUUAUUUCAAAAUAAAAGCUUUAUUUUUUUUAACUUCCUCUCUACAUCUGGGUCCUCUCCUUACUCCGAGUCGUAACAGCGAGUAGAUAUCAGAUUUCUCUGCUAGCCUGGUAUGGCUCCGGUGCGGCACUUCCUGCUUUUGCAACUCAUAACCUGUGAUUGGAUACUCACUUGUGUGAGUAACAACUACCAUAUUUUCCGGUCUAAAGGGCGCACUUGAAAAAAUUUUCUUUCUCAAAACUCGAUGCUACCAUGAAUUGAUUAACGUGGACCCUGACUUAAACAAGUCAAAAAACGUAUUUGGGGGUUACUAUUUAGUGGUCAAUUGUACAGAAUAUGUACUGUACUGUGCAAUCUACUAAUAAAAGUUUGAAUCAAUCAAUCAAAUCGACACUGCGCCUUAUAGCCCGGUGCGCCUAAUGUAAGGAAUACGUUUGGUUGAGCUUACCCACCUCGAAGCAAUUUUAUGUGGUACAUGGUGUAGUGAUAAGUGUGAUGAGUAGAUGGUAGUCAAACAUAAAAGAUAAGUGCAGGCUGCAGCGUUUAAUGUGCUUUAGCAUACAAGUAUUAUUAUGGUGUGUGUAUAAGGCAAAACAUAUCUGGCAUUUUGUUUUUCAAUAUUAUGCAAAAGCAACCAUUCUUACCUCCUGGUACCUGCUGAUCUGCAUUUGGGAUCAGCAUAAAUCCUGAAAAAUUGCGCGUCCCCGCCUUUGUAGUCCGUGGAGACAAUAUUGUCGAUAAGCUUUUUCUUUUUCUCUAUCUUCUUGUUAUGCGGCAUUCAUCCUCGGCUGUUGCCAUUUCUAAUGUAAAGUAGUGUAAGGUUCUUACUUGUAUCUGUCAGUAAACCCACCAUGAAAGCACUAAAUUAUACCGGUGUAGUAAGUUUAGAUUAUUCAUUCAAGGAACUUUAGAGUUCCGGUCAGACGUUUUUUCAAGAGACACAUUUCUGGUGUUGUUGUUUCUGGAGGAAAAAAUGGAAAAUAGACCAUUCAUCGGCAGUGCGCCUUAUAAUCCGGUGCGCCUUAUGUCUGGAAAAUACGGUAAGUAUCCAAUCACAGGAGGCGUGAAAAUCAAGUUCAUCAUUUCAAUGCAAAGCAACCGAGAAUGGCUACUGUCAACAACUCAAACGCUGAUUUGCUAUUGCAACUGUCUAUCAACUGUAUGUGCACAGAUCACCGCGUUGUUGAUUCAGAAGGCCUCGGCAGAUUUCAACCAGCACUGGCAACAAUCCAGCUAAAUUCUUAUCAAAUAAAACCUCUAACGUAAAAAGAGCAAAACUAGAGCCUAAUAUGACUGAAGAGAUCAUGAUGAAUACGUGUGUACAUUUAGGUAAAAAUAAAUCAAAUGAACUUAUCAAUUUAUGAUCAUAAUUUAUGUCAGGCCAGCAGGAAAGGCAAAUGUUAUUUUCUUUGUUGUUUGUCACUUUUAUGGCGUGUAAUAUGGCAAUGACGUUUAACAUACUGUAAGGCAGAUGCUGAGAAAAUAACCGGUGAACUUUGGGGAGCCUAUCUUUAAAUAAUUACAGUUUUAGGUAUGUGGGUAUUGUUUCGAGUGCUGUUUAUUUGGAAACCUGAAAAAAAUUGUUUGAUACAAAACUAUUAACAAAUAUGGCACAUUUUCCAGUUUUGUUGUUUUGAAUCACAAUGGAAUUAUUCUGGUGCUCCAAAAUGCUACUGUUAGCAUUUUUCCUUUUUCCCCCAUUUACUACAAAGUAGCAUGCUAGCAAUGCUACCGAGCAGACCUAAAAUGGCAAGCCUCAAUUUUUUUUUUUUUGCAAGAAGUUUAUUUUGCCUUUUUCGCAGACUGAGUCACAAUAAAAUUGGUGUACCUGUUCUGUAAUAAAAAAAAAAGGUCUUAUAUUCCAUCGUCUCACAUCAUCCUGUGCAAUCCAGGAAGUGGUAUGCUCACAAAGUAACGGACAAACAAUUAAAUAUCUAAUGCUUCUUGUUAGAGAUGUCCAAUAAUAUCGGACUGCCGAUAUUAUCGGCCGAUAAAUGCUUUAAAAUUAUUGGUAUCGCUUUCAAAAUUAUCGGUAUUGCUUUCAAAAAGUAAAAUUCAUGACUUAAACACAGACGAAGAGAGAAGUAUAGAGCGCCAAUAAACCUUAAAGGCACUGCCUUUGCGUGCCGGCCCAAUCACAUAAUAUCUACGGCUUUUCACACACACAAGUGAAUGCAAGGGAUACUUGGUCAACAGCCGUACAGGUCACACUGAGGGUGGCCGUAUAAGCAACUUUAACACUGUUAAAAAAAUGCGCCACACUGUGAACCCAGACCAAACAAGAAUGACAGACACAUUUCGGGAGGAAAUCUGCACCGUAAAACAACAUAAACACAACAUAACAAAUACCCAGAACCCCUUGCAUCACUAACUCUUCCGGGACGCUACAAUAUACACCCCCGCUACACGCUACCCCCACAGCCCUGCCCCACCCCUGCCCCUCCCCAACCCUGCCCAACUCAACUUCCUCAUGCUCUCUCAGGAAGAGGAUGUCCCAAUUCUAAGCUGCUGAUUUAAGGCAUGAUAAAAAAUUAAUGCACUUUGUGACUUCAAUAAUAAAUAUGGCAGUGCCAUGUUGGCAUUUUUUUCAUAACUUGAGUUGAUUUAUUUUGGAAAACCUUGUUGCAUUGUUUAAAUGCAUCCGGCGGGGUAUCACAACAAAAUUAGGCAUAAUAAUGUGUUUAAUUCCAAGACUGUAUAUAUUGUGGUUGAUAUCAGUAUCGGUAAUUAAGAGUUGGACCAUAUCGGAAUAUCGGAUAUGGGCAAAAAAGCCAUUAUCGGACAUCUCUACUUCUUGUCCACACGAAUUGUAACAGAAACAUGCACUACGUCUUUAGUUUGUCUAAUUAAGUUAAUUACAAGAGGGUUGUUACAUCACCCCUGAACAAAAAAAAUGGUACGGACCUGUUGUCCACACAACAGGAAGUGGCCUGGUGUGCUAACUAAACUUAAAAAAAACCUAAGAAAUAUGUUUAAAAAAAAUUCAAAUUUAAUUUGAGUAACAAAGGGAACCUCAAACUUUAAAGCACCUAAAUGCAAAAGGAAGAGUCCUGUCCAUCCAUUCAUACAAUGGCAUGUUCUCUAUGAACCCGGAAUUAGCGCGUUAAUAGUGUGUUUCAUUUGUACUGGGAAGACGGAAUUUCCAAGUUCCUAAAUGGAAUUUCAGCUGUAACGUGCCUCGAGUCGGAUUUAACUCUGGAUGUCGGCUUCUGUAACAUCCAUUGUUAGCGCUUCUGAUUAGUUUUUGUCGCCGUAAAUCAGCCAUAUACGAUGUGUUGUUGCACGUUAAUAUAUGGUAACGUCACUGUCGUGUAAACUACAUUUAUUUCUUGUGGUAUAUACGCUGCACGUCGCUAGAAAUAGCGUCUGUAAUUCCUUUGCAUCUGUGUUUGAAGGUUGCAAACAGAGUGCAUAUUUUCACAUAAGUUGUUUAUAUUCAGACAAAGCAAGUGCAAAAAUACCUUUCAAGGAUUUGGGACUCUUGAUUUCCGACAUCGUAAUUGGACGCCCCAAAAAAUUGGGAGUGACGUCAUUCCCAGCUCCGACUUCCCACUUCCCAGGUAAAUGGUAACAACUAAAAAAUGGACAAACAUACAAGAAAUGGCUUGAUAACUACCAAAUGAACGAACAAAGAGGAAGUAGUCCGACAAAAAAAUGGACGGACAAACAGGAAGUAGCCUGAUAACAAACAAAUGGACAGACAAACAAUAAGUAGCCUGAUAACUACCUAAUGGAAGGACAAACAGGAAAUAGAUUGAUAAAAAAUGGACGAACAAACAGGAAGUAGCCUGAUAACUAACAAAUUGACGGACAAUUAGGAAGUAGCCUGAUAACCACCAAAUGGACGGACAGACAGGAAGUAGCCUGAUAAAGAACAAAUGGACGGACAAACAAUAAGUAGCCUGAUAACUACCUAAUGGAAGCUCAACUAAAAAAUGGACAAACAUUCAAGAAAUAGCUUGAUAACGACCAAAUGAACAAACAAAGAGGAAGUAGUCUGACAAAAAAUUGACGGACAAACAGGAAGUAGCCUGAUAACAAACAAAUGGACGGACAAACAAUAAGUAGCCUGAUAAUUACCUAAUGGAAGGACAAACAGGAAAUAGAUUGAUAAAAAAUGGACGAACAAACAGGAAGUAGCCUGAUAACUAACAAAUUGACGGACAAUUAGGAAGUAGCCUGAUAACGACCAAAUGAACGAACAAAGAGGAAGUAGCCUGAUAACAAACAAAUGGACGGACAAACAAUAAGUAGCCUGAUAACUACCUAAUGGAAGCUCAACUAAAAAAUGGACAAACAUACAAGAAAUAGCUUGAUAACGGCCAAAUGAACAAACAAAGAGGAAGUAGUCUGACAAAAAAUGGAUGGACAAACAGGAAGUAGCCUGAUAACAAACAAAUGGACGGACAAACAAUAAGUAGUCUGAUAACUACCUAAUGGAAGGACAAACAGGAAAUAGCUUGAUAAAAAAUGGACGAACAAACGGGAAGUAGCUUGAUAACUAACAAAUUGACAGACAAUUAGGAAGUAGCCUGAUAACGACCAAAUGAACGAACAAAGAGGAAGUAGCCUGAUAACAAACAAAUGGACGGACAAACAAUAAGUAGCCUGAUAACUACCUAAUGGAAGCUCAACUAAAAAAUGGACAAACAUACAAGAAAUAGCUUGAUAACGACCAAAUGAACAAACAAAGAGGAUGUAGUCUGACAAGAAAUGGAUGGACAAACAGGAAGUAGCCUGAUAACAAACAAAUGGACGGACAAACAAUAAGUAGCCUGAUAACUACCUAAUGGAAGGACAAACAGGAAAUAGCUUGAUGAAAAAUGGACGAACAAACGGGAAGUAGCUUGAUAACUAACAAAUUGACGGACAAUUAGGAAGUAGCCUGAUAACCACCAAAUGGACGGACGGACAGGAAGUAGCCCUCUAACUCCCAAAUGGACGGACAAUCAGGAAGUAGCCUGAUAACUAACAAUCAACGGAAAAACAGGAAGUGGCUUGAUAACUAAAAAAGGGACAAACACGAAGUAGCCUGAUAACAAAAAGAUGGACAGACAACUAGAAAGUAGCCUGACCACUACCGAAUGGACUGACGAACAGGAAGUAACCAGAUAACUACAAAAUGGAUGAACAGACAGGUAGUAGCCGUAUAACUACCAAAUGGAUGGAUAAACAGGAAGUAGCCUGAUAACAGAGGGUCAUUUCACCACAUCUAGUGUGUGUGUGACUAUCAGUGGUACUUUAACUUUAACUACGAAAUGGAUGAACGAACAGGAAGUAGCCUGAUAACAACCAAAUGAAUGGACAAACAGGAAGUAGCCUGAUUACUACCAAAUGGAUGGACAAACAGGAAGUAGCCUUAUAACUAACAAAUGGACGGAAAAACAGGAAGUAGCCCGAUUUUUACCAAAUGGACGGACAAACAGGAUGUAGCCUUCUCACUACCAAAUGGACAGACAAACCAGAAGUGGCCCUCUAACUACCAAAUGGAUGGACAAACAGGAAGUAGGCCUCUAACUACCAAAUGGACAAAAAAUCAGGAAGUAGCCAGAUAACUAACAAUCAACCGACAAACAGGAAGUGGCUUGAUAACUAAAAAAGGGACAAACACGAAGUAGCCUGAUAACAAAAAAAUGGACGGACAAAUAGAAAGUAGCCUGACCACUACCGAAUGGACUGACAAACCGGAAGUAACCAGAUAACUACAAAGUGGGUGAACAGACAGAACUACCAAAUGGGUUGCCAAACAGUAAGUAGCACUCUCACUACCAAAUGGAUGGACAAACAGGAAGUAGACUGAUAACAGAGGGUCAUUUCACCACACCUAGUGUGUGUGUGACUAUCAGUGGUACUUUAACUUUAACUACGAAAUGGAUGAACGAACAGGAAGUAGCCUGAUAACAACCAAAUGAAUGGACAAACAGGAAGUAGCCUGAUUACUACUAAAUGGACGGACAGACGGGAAGUAGCCCUUUAAGUACCAAAUGGAUGGACAAACAGGAAGUAGCCUGAUAACUAACAAAUGUACGGAAAAACAGGAAGUAGCCCAAUCUUUACCAAAUGGAUGGACAAACAGGAUGUAGCCUUCUCACUACCAAAUGGACAGACAAGCAGGAAGUGGCCCUCUAACUACCAAAUGGAUGGACAAACAGGAAGUAGGCCUCUAACUACCAAAUGGACAAACAAUCAGGAAGUAGCCAGAUAACUAACAAUCAACGGAAAAACAGGAAGUGGCUUGAUAACUAAAAAAGGGACGAACACGAAGUAGUCUGAUAACAAAAAAAUGGACAGACAACUAGAAAGUAGCCUGACCUCUACCGAAUGGACUGAGGAACAGGAAGUAACCAGAUAACUACAAAAUGGAUGAACAGACAGGUAGUAGCCUGAUAACUACCAAAUGGAUGGACAAACAGUAAGUAGCCCUCUCACUACCAAAUGGAUGGACAAACAGGAAGUAGCCUGAUAACAGAGGGUCAUUUCACCACACCUAGUGUGUGUGUGACUAUCAGUGGUACUUUAACUUUAACUACGAAAUGGAUGAACGAACAGGAACUAGUCUGAUAACAACCAAAUGAAUGGACAAACAGGAAGUAGCCUGAUUACUACCAAAUGGACGGACAGAUGGGAAGUAGCCCUUUAUCUACCAAAUGGAUGGACAAACAGGAAGUAGCCUGAUAACUAACAAAUGGACGGAAAAACAGGAAGUAGCCCAAUCUUUACCAAAUGGACGGACAAACAGGACGUAGCCUUCUCACUACCAAAUGGACAGACAAACAGGAAGUGGCCCUCUAACUACCAAAUGGAUGGACGAACAGGAAGUAGGCCUCUAACUACCAAAUGGACAAACAAUCAGGAAGUAGCCAGAUAACUAACAAUCAACCGACAAACAGGAAGUGGCUUGAUAACUAAAAAAGGGACAAACACGAAGUAGCCUGAUAACAAAAAAAUGGACGGACAAAUAGAAAGUAGCCUGACCACUACCGAAUGGACUGACAAACCGGAAGUAACCAGAUAACUACAAAGUGGAUGAACAGACAGAACUACCAAAUGGGUUGCCAAACAGUAAGUAGCACUCUCACUACCAAAUGGAUGGACAAACAGGAAGUAGCCUGAUAACAGAGGGUCAUUUCACCACACCUAGUGUGUGUGUGACUAUCAGUGGUACUUUAACUUUAACUACGAAAUGGAUGAACGAACAGGAAGUAGCCUGAUAACAACCAAAUGAAUGGACAAACAGGAAGUAGCCUGAUUACUACUAAUUGGACGGACAGACGGGAAGUAGCCCUUUAACUACCAAAUGGAUGGACAAACAGGAAGUAGCCUGAUAACUAACAAAUGGACGGAAAAACAGGAAGUAGCCCAAUCUUUACCAAAUGGACGGACAAACAAGAUGUAGCCUUCUCACUACCAAAUGGACAGACAAACAGGAAGUGGCCCUCUAACUACCAAAUGGAUGGACAAACAGGAAGUAGGCCUCUAACUACCAAAUGGACAAACAAUCAGGAAGUAGCCAGAUAACUAACAAUCAACGGAAAAACAGGAAGUGGCUUGAUAACUAAAAAAGGGACGAACACCUGAUAACAAAAAAAUGGACAGACAACUAGAAAGUAGCCUGACCUCUACCGAAUGGACUGAGGAACAGGAAGUAACCAGAUAACUACAAAAUGGAUGAACAGACAGGUAGUAGCCUGAAAACUACCAAAUGGAUGGACAAACAGUAAGUAGCCCUCUCACUACCAAAUGGACAAACAAUCAGGAAGUAGCCAGAUAACUAACAAUCAACCGACAAACAGGGAGUGGCUUGAUAACUAAAAAAGGGACAAACACGAAGUAGCCUGAUAACAAAAAAAUGGACGGACAAAUAGAAAGUAGCCUGACCACUACCGAAUGGACUGACAAGCCGGAAGUAACCAGAUAACUACAAAGUGGAUGAACAGACAGAACUACCAAAUGGACGGACAAGUAAGAAGCACUCUCACUACCAAAUGGACGGACAAACAGGAAGUAGCCUGAUAACAGAGGGUCAUUUCACCACACCUAGUGUGUGUGUGACUAUCAGUGGUACUUUAACUUUAACUACGACAUGGAUGAACAAACAGGAAGUAGCCUGAUAACAACCAAAUGAAUGGACAAACAGGGUGUAGCCUGAUUACUACCAAAUGGACGGACAAACGGGAAGUAGCCCUUUAACUACCAAAUGGAUGGACAAAGAGGAAGUUGCCUGAUAACUAAAAAAUGGACGGACAAACAGGAAGUAGCCCUCUCACUACCAAAUGGACGGAUAAACAGGAAGUGGCCUGAAAACUAACAAAUGGAUGGACAAACAGGAGGUAGCCUGAUGACUAACAAAUGGUGGGACAAACAGGAAGUAACCCUCUCACUACCAAAUGGACAGACAAACAGGAAGUGGCCCUCUAACUACCAAAUGGAUGGACAACCAGGACGUAGGCCUCUAACUACCAAAUAGAUGGACAAACAGCAAAUAUCCUGAUAACUAAAAAAUGGACGGAUAAACAAGAAGUAGCCUCAUAACUAUAAAGUGGACGGACAAACAGGAGGUAGCCUGAUUCGAGUCAUACCAAACGCUAUAAAAAUGGGACCGAUUACCUCCCUGCUUGGCACUCAGCAUCAAAGGUUCGCAUUGGGGGUUAAAUCACCAAAAAUUAUUCCCAGGCGCGGCCACCGCUGCUGCUCACUGUUACCCUCACUAAAAAAUGGAUGGAGAAACAGGAAGUAUCCUGAUAACUAACAAAUGGAUGGGCAAUUAGGAAGUAGCCCGAUAAUUAAAAUAUGGACAGACAAACAAGAAAUAGCUUGAUAAUUAAAAAAUGGACGGACAAACAAGAAAUAGCGUGAUAAUUAAAAAGGGACGGACAAACAGGAAGUAGCCUGAUAACUAACAAAUGGAUGGACAAACAGUAAGUAGCCUGAAUACUACCAAAUGGAUGGACAAACAAGAAGUAGCUUGAUAAUUAAAAAAUGGACAGACAAACAACAAAUAGCUUGAUAAUUAAAAAGGGACGGACAAACAGGAAGUAGCCUGAUAACUAACAAAUGGAUCUACAAACAGGAAGUAGCCUGAAUACUACCAAAUGGACGGACAAACAGGAAGUAGCCUGAUUACUAAAAAAUGGACGGACAAACAGGAAGUAGCCUGAAAACAAAAGUAUGGACGGACAAACAAGAAGUAGCUUGAUAACUAAAAAAUGGACGGAGAAACAGGAAGUAUCCUGAUAACUAACAAAUGGAUGGACAAUUAGGAAGUAGCCCGAUAAGUAAAAUAUGGAUGGACAAACAAGAAGUAGCUUGAUAAUUAAAAAAUGGACGUAGAAACAGGAAGUAGCCUGAUAACUAACAAAGGAUGGACAAACAGGAAGUAGCCCGAUAAUUAAAAAAUAGACGGACAAACAGCAAGUAGCCUGAUUACUAAAAUAUGUACGAACAAACAAGAAGUAGCCUGAUAACUAAAAAAUGGAUGGACAAACAGGAAAUAGCCUGAAAACUACCAAAUGGAUGGACAAACAGGAUGUAGCCCGAUAAUUAAAAUAUGGACGGACAAACAAGAAGUAACUUGAUAACUAAAAAAUGGACAGAGAAACAGGAAGUAGCCUGAUAACUAACAAAUGGAUGGACAAACAGGAAGUGGCCCGAUAAUUAAAAAAUAGACGGACAAACAGCAAGUAGCCUGAUUGCUAAAAUAUGUACGAACAAACAAGAAAUAGCCUGAUAACUAAAAAAUGGAUGGACAAACAGGAAAUAGCCUGAAAACUACCAAAUGGAUGGACAAACAGGAUGUAGCCUGAUAAUUAAAAUAUGGACGGACAAACAAGAAGUAACUUGAUAACUAAAAAAUGGACAGAGAAACAGGAAGUAUCCUGAUAACUAACAAAUGGAUGGGCAAUUAGGAAGUAGCCCGAUAAUUAAAAUAUGGACAGACAAACAAGAAAUAGCUUGAUAAUUAAAAAAUGGACGGACAAACAAGAAAUAGUGUGAUAAUUAAAAAGGGACGGACAAACAGGAAGUAGCCUGAUAACUAACAAAUGGAUGGACAAACAGUAAGUAGCCUGAACACUACCAAAUGGAUGGACAAACAAGAAGUUGCUUGAUAAUUAAAAAAUGGAUAGACAAACAACAAAUAGCUUGAUAAUUAAAAAGGGACGGACAAACAGGAAGUAGCCUGAUAACUAAUAAAUGGAUCUACAAACAGGAAGUAGCCUGAAUAAUACCAAAUGGACGGACAAACAGGAAGUAGCCUGAUAACUAAAACAUGGACGGACAAACAAGAAGUAGCUGGAUAAUUAAAAAAUGGACGUAAAAACAAGAAGUAGCCUGAUAACUAACAAAUGGAUGGACAAACAGGAAGUAGCCCGAUAAUUAAAAAAUAGACGGACAAACAGCAAGUAGCCUGAUUACUCAAAUAUGUACGAACAAACAAGAAGUAGCCUGAUAACUAAAAAAUGGAUGGACAAACAGGAAAUAGCCUGAAAACUACCAAAUGGAUGGACAAACAGGAUGUAGCCUGAUAAUUAAAAUAUGGACGGACAAACAAGAAGUAACUUGAUAACUAAAAAAUGGACGGAGAAACAGGAAGUAUCCUGAUAACUAACAAAUGGAUGGGCAAUUAGGAAGUAGCCCGAUAAUUAAAAUAUGGACAGACAAACAAGAAAUAGCUUGAUAAUUAAAAAAUGGACGGACAAACAAGAAAUAGCGUGAUAAUUAAAAAGGGACGGACAAACAGGAAGUAGCCUGAUAACUAACAAAUGGAUGGACAAUCAGUAAGUAGCCUGAAUACUACCAAAUGGAUGGACAAACAAGAAGUAGCUUGAUAAUUAAAAAAUGGACAGACAAACAACAAAGAGCUUGAUAAUUAAAAAGGGACGGACAAACAGGAAGUAGCCUGAUAACUAACAAAUGGAUCUACAAACAGGAAGUAGCCUGAAUACUACCAAAUGGACGGACAAACAGGAAGUAGCCUGAUAACUAAAACAUGGACGGACAAACAAGAAGUAGCUUGAUAAUUAAAAAAUGGACGUAGAAACAAGAAGUAGCCUGAUAACUAACAAAUGGAUGGACAAACAGGAAGUAGCCCGAUAAUUAAAAAAUAGACGGACAAACAAGAAAUAGCUUGAUAAUUAAAAAAUGGACGGACAAACAAGAAAUAGCGUGAUAAUUAAAAAGGGACGGACAAACAGGAAGUAGCCUGAUAACUAACAAAUGGAUGGACAAACAGUAAGUAGCCUGAAUACUACCAAAUGGAUGGAGAAACAAGAAGUAGCUUGAUAAUUAAAAAAUUGACAGACAAACAACAAAUAGCUUGAUAAUUAAAAAGGGACGGACAAACAGGAAGUAGCCUGAUAACUAACAAAUGGAUCUACAAACAGGAAGGGGCCUGAAUACUACCAAAUGGACGGACAAACAGGAAGUAGCCUGAUAACUAAAAAAUGGACGGACAAACAAGAAGUAGCUUGAUAAUUAAAAAAUGGACGGACUAACAAAAAAUAGCUUGAUAAUUAAAAAAAUUGACCGACAAACAGGAAGUAGCCUGAUAAUUAAAAAAUGGACGGAAAAACA